This 497-nucleotide ribosomal RNA is filed under the name uncultured bacterium. RNAcentral describes it as "partial 16S ribosomal RNA". It matches the Rfam family "Bacterial small subunit ribosomal RNA", at positions 28 to 507 of the family's 1533-position model. The record is from RNAcentral.
GAUGAACGCUGGCGGCGUGCCUAAUACAUGCAAGUCGAGCGAACAGACGAGGAGCUUGCUCCUCUGACGUUAGCGGCGGACGGGUGAGUAACACGUGGAUAACCUACCUAUAAGACUGGGAUAACUUCGGGAAACCGGAGCUAAUACCGGAUAAUAUAUUGAACCGCAUGGUUCAAUAGUGAAAGACGGUUUUGCUGUCACUUAUAGAUGGAUCCGCGCCGCAUUAGCUAGUUGGUAAGGUAACGGCUUACCAAGGCAACGAUGCGUAGCCGACCUGAGCGGGUGAUCGGCCACACUAGAACUGAGACACGGUCCAGACUCCUACGGGAGGCAGCAGUAGGGAAUGUUCCGCAAUGGGCGAAAGCCUGACGGAGCAACGCCGAGCGUGUGAUGAAGGUCUUCGGAGCGUAAAACUCUGUUAUUAGGGAAGAACAAAUGUGUAAGUAACUAUGCACGUAUUGACGGUACCUAAUCAGAAAGCCACGGCUAACUACGUG